Molecule: ribosomal RNA, 477 nt
Filed under: Triticum aestivum (bread wheat)
Lineage: Eukaryota; Viridiplantae; Streptophyta; Magnoliopsida; Poales; Poaceae
Description: partial small subunit ribosomal RNA
Source: RNAcentral
AUGGCGGCGAGCAAGGGCGCGAGGAAGAGCCUGGUGUCGAGGACCCUGGAGCGGUGCCGAUCCGGGCUGGCCAGCGGUGGCCGGUCGUCGGCGGCGGUGGCGCCCGGGUGCUUCUCGGUGUACGUUGGGCCGGAGCGGGAGCGGUUCGUGGUGCGCGCCGACCGCGCCAACCACCCGCUCUUCCGCCGCCUCCUCGACGACGCAGAGCAGGAGUACGGCUACGCGGCGCAGGGGCCGCUCGCGCUGCCCUGCUCCGUCGACGCCUUCCUCGACGUGCUCUGGCACAUGGACCACGACGUCCAGGACGACGACGAUGGCGAGGCCGCCGUGGCCCCGUCGACGCCCAUAUGCGGCCUGCAGCGCGCCGGCAGCGGGAACAUCAAGGUCCGGCCGGCGGGGUACCGGGUGCUCAGCCCGGCCAAGUCCACGCCGGCUUCCUUCUUCUUCUCGCAGACGGCGGCUGGCGGUAGGAGGUGA